GCACAAGCGGUGGAGCAUGUGGUUUAAUCGAAGCAACGCGAAGAACCUUACCAGGUCUUGACAUCCCGAUGCUAUUUCUAGAGAUAGAAAGUUACUUCGGUACAUCGGUGACAGGUGGUGCAUGGUUGUCGUCAGCUCGUGUCGUGAGAUGUUGGGUUAAGUCCCGCAACGAGCGCAACCCCUACGUUUAGUUGCUAACGCGUGAAGGCGAGCACUCUAGACGAACUGCCGUUGACAAAACGGAGGAAGGUGGGGAUGACGUCAAAUCAUCAUGCCCCUUAUGUUCUGGGCUACACACGUGCUACAAUGGCCGGUACAGACGGACGCAAAGCCGCGAGGUGGAGCAAAUCCUAAAAAGCCGGUCUCAGUUCGGAUUGCAGGCUGCAAUUCGCCUGCAUGAAGUCGGAAUCGCUAGUAAUCGCAGGUCAGCAUACUGCGGUCGAAUACGUUCCCGGGCCUU
Molecule: ribosomal RNA, 460 nt
Filed under: uncultured Pelotomaculum sp.
Lineage: Bacteria; Bacillati; Bacillota; Clostridia; Eubacteriales; Desulfotomaculaceae
Description: bacterial SSU rRNA
Rfam family: Bacterial small subunit ribosomal RNA
Source: RNAcentral